This 253-nucleotide ribosomal RNA is filed under the name uncultured bacterium. Its description in RNAcentral is "partial 16S ribosomal RNA". It matches the Rfam family "Bacterial small subunit ribosomal RNA", at positions 524 to 776 of the family's 1533-position model. The record is from RNAcentral.
UACGUAGGGAGCAAGCGUUAUCCGGAAUUAUUGGGUGUAAGGGGUGCGUAGACGGGAUAACAAGUUGGUUGUGAAACCCCUCGGCUCAACUGAGGAACUGCAACCAAAACUAUUAUUCUUGAGUGCAGGAGAGGAAAGUGGAAUUCCUAGUGUAGCGGUGAGAUGCGUAGAUAUUAGGAAGAACACCGGUGGCGAAGGCGGCUUACUGGACUGUAACUGACGUUGAGGCUCGAAAGCGUGGGGAGCAAACAGG